Molecule: ribosomal RNA, 793 nt
Filed under: uncultured bacterium
Lineage: Bacteria
Description: bacterial SSU rRNA
Rfam family: Bacterial small subunit ribosomal RNA
Source: RNAcentral
AGAGUUUGAUCAUGGCUCAGAUUGAACGCUGGCGGCAUGCUUUACACAUGCAAGUCGAGCGGCAGCGCGGGGGCAACCCUGGCGGCGAGCGGCGGACGGGUGAGUAAUGCAUCGGAACGUAUCCCGUAGUGGGGGACAACCCAGCGAAAGCUGGGCUAAUACCGCAUACGCUCUACGGAGGAAAGUGGGGGACCUGCAAGGGCCUCACGCUAGGGGAGCGGCCGAUGUCCGAUUAGCUGGUUGGUGGGGUAAAGGCUUACCAAGGCGACGAUCGGUAGCUGGUCUGAGAGGAUGAUCAGCCACACUGGGACUGAGACACGGCCCAGACUCCUACGGGAGGCAGCAGUGGGGAAUUUUGGACAAUGGGGGCAACCCCGAUCCAGCCAUGCCGCGUGCGGGAAGAAGGCCUUCGGGUUGUAAACCGCUUUUGGUCGGGAAGAAAAGGCUCCCCCUAAUACGGGGGGUUCUUGACGGUACCGGCAGAAUAAGCACCGGCUAACUACGUGCCAGCAGCCGCGGUAAUACGUAGGGUGCGAGCGUUAAUCGGAAUUACUGGGCAAAGCGUGCGCAGGCGGUGAGUUGUGUCUGCUGUGAAAGCCCCGGGCUCAACCUGGGAAUGGCAGUGGAAACUGGCUCGCUGGAGUGUGGCAGAGGGGGGUGGAAUUCCGCGUGUAGCAGUGAAAUGCGUAGAGAUGCGGAGGAACACCGAUGGCGAAGGCAGCCCCCUGGGCCAACACUGACGCUCAGGCACGAAAGCGUGGGGAGCAAACAGGAUUAGAUACCCUAGUAGUCC